Molecule: ribosomal RNA, 440 nt
Filed under: uncultured bacterium
Lineage: Bacteria
Description: partial 16S ribosomal RNA
Rfam family: Bacterial small subunit ribosomal RNA
Source: RNAcentral
CCUACGGGAGGCAGCAGUAGGGAAUCUUCCACAAUGGACGAAACUCUGAUCCAGCAACGCCGCGUGAGUGAAGAAGGAUUUCGGUACGUAAAGCUCUAUCAGCAGGGAAGAAAAAGACGGUAACUGACUAAGAAUCCCCUGCUAACAACUAACCAGCAGCCGCGGUAAUACGUAGGGGGCACACGUUAUCCGGAUUUAAUGGGUGGAAAGGGAGCGUAGACGGCAGCGCAAGUCUGGAGUGAAAUCCCAUGGCUUAACCAUGGACGUACUUUGGAAACUGUGCAGCUGGAGUGCAGGAGAGGUGAGUGGAAUUCCUUGUGUAGCGGUGAAAUGCGUAGAUAUAAGGAGGAACACCAGUGGCGAAGGCGGCUUUCUGGACUGUAACUGACGUUGAGGCUCGAAAGCGUGGGGAGCAAACAGGAUUAGAUACCCUAGUAGUC